Molecule: ribosomal RNA, 2954 nt
Filed under: Paenibacillaceae bacterium ZCTH02-B3
Lineage: Bacteria; Bacillati; Bacillota; Bacilli; Caryophanales; Paenibacillaceae
Description: bacterial LSU rRNA
Rfam family: Bacterial large subunit ribosomal RNA
Source: RNAcentral
AGGAUAAGCUGCUAAGGGCGCACGGUGGAUGCCUUGGCGCCAGGAGCCGAUGAAGGACGGGGCGAACGCCGAUACUGCCUCGGGGAGCCGUAAGCAGGCCGCGAUCCGGGGAUGUCCGAAUGGGGGAACCCAGCCGUCGUAAUGGGCGGCUAUCCGGCGGUGAAUCCAUAGCCGUCGGAGGGCACACCAGGGGAACUGAAACAUCUUAGUACCCUGAGGAGAAGAAAACAACCGUGAUUCCGCAAGUAGCGGCGAGCGAACGCGGAGGAGCCCAAACCGGGAGGCUUGCCUUCCGGGGUUGUGGGACGUCCCGUAUGGAGUUACAAAAGAGCAUUCUAGGCGAAGAGGUCUGGAAAGGCCCGCCAUAGGAGGUAACAGCCCUGUAGCCGAAAGGGUGCUCUCUCCGGGACGGAUCCCGAGUACCGCGGGGCACGUGGAACCCCGCGGGAAGCAGGCAGGACCAUCUGCCAAGGCUAAAUACUCCCUGGCGACCGAUAGUGAACCAGUACCGUGAGGGAAAGGUGAAAAGAACCGCGGGAGCGGAGUGAAAGAGAACCUGAAACCGUGCGCUUACAAGAAGUCAGAGCCCUUUUGAUGGGUGAUGGCGUGCCUUUUGUAGAAUGAACCGGCGAGUUGCGUUUGCGUGCGAGGUUAAGGCUUGAAGGGCCGGAGCCGUAGCGAAAGCGAGUCUGAAGAGGGCGAUUUAGUACGCAGGCGCAGACCCGAAACCGUGUGAUCUACCCCUGUCCAGGGUGAAGGCAGGGUAAAACCUGCUGGAGGCCCGAACCGGUGGGCGUUGAAAAGUCCUCGGAUGAGGCGGGGGUAGGGGUGAAAUGCCAAUCGAACACGGAGAUAGCUGGUUCUCCCCGAAAUAGCUUUAGGGCUAGCCUCGGGUGAAGCUUUACGGAGGUAGAGCACUGAAAGGAUGCGGGGCCCGCAAGGGUUACCAAGUUCUAUCAAACUCCGAAUGCCGUAAAGGGAUGCCCGGGAGUCAGACGGUGAGCGCUAAGGUCCAUCGUCGAGAGGGGAACAGCCCAGACCAUCGGCUAAGGUCCCCAAGUGUGUGUUAAGUGGGGAAGGAUGUGGCGCCGCGAAGACAACCAGGAUGUUGGCUUAGAAGCAGCCAUCAUUCAAAGAGUGCGUAAUAGCUCACUGGUCGAGUGGCGCUGCGCCGAAAAUUCAACGGGGCUAAACACACCACCGAAGCCAUGGCUUGUGCCGGAAGGCACAGGGGUAGGGGAGCGUUGCAUGCGGGUUGAAGCCGUACCGGAAGGAGCGGUGGACGGCAUGCAAGCGAGAAUGCCGGUAUGAGUAACGAAAAGACAGGUGAGAAUCCUGUUCGCCGAAAGCCUAAGGUUUCCUGAGGAAGGUUCGUCCGCUCAGGGUAAGUCGGGACCUAAGGCGAGGCCGAAAGGCGUAGUCGAAAGGGCAACAGGUUGAAAUUCCUGUACCACCCGUGCGGCGUCAUGAGCGAUGGGGGGACGCAGGAGGGCAGGGACGCAGGCGGAUGGAAGGGCCUGUCCAAGCAGCAAGAGGGGUGACACAGGCAAAUCCGUGCACCGGUAACCUCAAGCUGUGACGGGGAGGGGAAACUGAAGUACCCGAAGGUCCUGUGCUCCCACUGCCGAGAAAAGCCUCUAGCCAGCCGCAGGGUGCCCGUACCGGAAACCGACACAGGCAGGCGGGAAGAAGAUUCCAAGGCGCGCGGAAGAACUCUCGUCAAGGAACUCGGCAAAAUGGCCCCGUAACUUCGGGAGAAGGGGUGCCCCGGUAGGGUGAGGAGCCCGAGGGGGCCGCAGUGAAGAGGCCCAAGCGACUGUUUAGCACAAACACAGGUCUGUGCGAAGCCGCAAGGCGACGUAUACGGGCUGACGCCUGCCCGGUGCUGGAAGGUUAAGGGGAAGGGUUAGCCUUUGAGGCGAAGCUUUGAACCGAAGCCCCAGUAAACGGCGGCCGUAACUAUAACGGUCCUAAGGUAGCGAAAUUCCUUGUCGGGUAAAUUCCGACCCGCACGAAUGGCGUAACGACUUGGGCGCUGUCUCGACGAGAGAUCCGGUGAAAUUUUAGUACCUGUGAAGAUGCAGGUUACCCGCGACGUGACGGAAAGACCCCGUGGAGCUUUACUGCAGCUUGAUAUUGGACUUUGGCAGGGCCUGUACAGGAUAGGUGGGAGCCUUGGAAGCCGGUGCGCCAGCAUCGGUGGAGGCGUCCUUGGGAUACCACCCUGGCUGUGCCGGAGUUCUAACCCGCCGCCCUGAAUCGGGCGGGGGGACCGUGUCAGGCGGGCAGUUUGACUGGGGCGGUCGCCUCCCAAAGGGUAACGGAGGCGCCCCAAGGUUCCCUCAGCGCGGUUGGAAAUCGCGCGUAGAGUGCAAAGGCAGAAGGGAGCUUGACUGCGAGACGGACGUGUCGAGCAGGGACGAAAGUCGGGCUUAGUGAUCCGGUGGUACCGGAUGGAAGGGCCAUCGCUCAACGGAUAAAAGCUACCCCGGGGAUAACAGGCUUAUCUCCCCCAAGAGUCCACAUCGACGGGGAGGUUUGGCACCUCGAUGUCGGCUCAUCGCAUCCUGGGGCCGUAGCAGGUCCCAAGGGUUGGGCUGUUCGCCCAUUAAAGCGGUACGCGAGCUGGGUUCAGAACGUCGUGAGACAGUUCGGUCCCUAUCUGUCGCGGGCGGAGGAAAUUUGAGGGGGGCUGUCCCUAGUACGAGAGGACCGGGACGGACGCACCGCUGGUGUACCAGUUGUUUCGCCAGGAGCACCGCUGGGUAGCCAAGUGCGGAAGGGAUAAGCGCUGAAAGCAUCUAAGCGCGAAGCCCGCCCCGAGAUGAGAUUUCCCACUCGUUAAGAGGUAAGACCCCUGGGAGAACACCAGGUGGAUAGGCCCGGGGUGGAAGCGCGGCAACGCGUGGAGCUGACGGGUACUAAUCGGUCGAGGGCUUAUCCAACCUUACUCU